This 661-nucleotide ribosomal RNA is filed under the name Enterobacter cloacae. RNAcentral describes it as "partial 23S ribosomal RNA". It matches the Rfam family "Bacterial large subunit ribosomal RNA", at positions 2261 to 2916 of the family's 2925-position model. The record is from RNAcentral. Lineage: Bacteria; Pseudomonadati; Pseudomonadota; Gammaproteobacteria; Enterobacterales; Enterobacteriaceae.
GUGGGUAGUUUGACUGGGGCGGUCUCCUCCCAAAGAGUAACGGAGGAGCACGAAGGUUAGCUAAUCCUGGUCGGACAUCAGGAGGUUAGUGCAAUGGCAUAAGCUAGCUUGACUGCGAGAGUGACGGCUCGAGCAGGUGCGAAAGCAGGUCAUAGUGAUCCGGUGGUUCUGAAUGGAAGGGCCAUCGCUCAACGGAUAAAAGGUACUCCGGGGAUAACAGGCUGAUACCGCCCAAGAGUUCAUAUCGACGGCGGUGUUUGGCACCUCGAUGUCGGCUCAUCACAUCCUGGGGCUGAAGUAGGUCCCAAGGGUAUGGCUGUUCGCCAUUUAAAGUGGUACGCGAGCUGGGUUUAGAACGUCGUGAGACAGUUCGGUCCCUAUCUGCCGUGGGCGCUGGAGAAUUGAGGGGGGCUGCUCCUAGUACGAGAGGACCGGAGUGGACGCAUCACUGGUGUUCGGGUUGUCAUGCCAAUGGCACUGCCCGGUAGCUAAAUGCGGAAGAGAUAAGUGCUGAAAGCAUCUAAGCACGAAACUUGCCCCGAGAUGAGUUCUCCCUGAGACUUAAAGUCUCCUGAAGGAACGUUGAAGACGACGACGUUGAUAGGUCGGGUGUGUAAGCGCAGCGAUGCGUUGAGCUAACCGAUACUAAUGAACCGUGAGG